Molecule: ribosomal RNA, 651 nt
Filed under: Triticum aestivum (bread wheat)
Lineage: Eukaryota; Viridiplantae; Streptophyta; Magnoliopsida; Poales; Poaceae
Description: partial small subunit ribosomal RNA
Source: RNAcentral
AUGGAAUCUGCUCUAUCACCCGGGCACUACCAUGCCGCCUACUGGCGGAGGGCUCUCUAUGUGCACCAACAUGAUUUUGUGAUCAGGAUAACCUUAUCAAACGAUACGUACCAAGUGAUUAAGCUGCCAUUGGGCCUUCAUGUGGAAACCGAUGAACCAGAACAUUACCUAGGAAAGUCAGAAAAAGGGGUGUACUGUGCAUUACUCUACGGCAAUAAUCGUCUUCGACUUCGGAUUUGGUUCCUUGACGAAAUAUGUGGCAAGAUGGACUGGCUCCUGAAACGUGAUAUCAACCUUGCGAAUCUACUAGCAAUUUAUCCUUGGAAAUACGGUGACAGGUCUUGGACUAGGCAAUAUGUUAACGAUGAAAUUGGCAAGAGCAUGGCACCGGCAGAAGCAAAAUUUGAAUCAGACUACUCUAGUAAUGAUGAUGUCAUCGCCACGGAAUAUACCGUUUCUACACUUGGAUUUCAUCCUUAUAGAGAGAUCAUCUUCUUCCGUGCAUCCUUUGGAAGAGCAAUGGCUUAUCACUUCAAUAGCUCAGAGAUUGUAGACAUGGGUUAUUUGCAAGGAAAGGGCCCUCAUGAUUGCGUAGGUGGAUCCUUUCCAUACACCCCGUGUCGGAUGGGGGAGUUGUCAAACAACAUGUAA